This 787-nucleotide ribosomal RNA is filed under the name Staphylococcus aureus. Its description in RNAcentral is "bacterial SSU rRNA". It matches the Rfam family "Bacterial small subunit ribosomal RNA", at positions 173 to 951 of the family's 1533-position model. The record is from RNAcentral. Lineage: Bacteria; Bacillati; Bacillota; Bacilli; Caryophanales; Staphylococcaceae.
AUUUUGAACCGCAUGGUUCAAAAGUGAAAGACGGUCUUGCUGUCACUUAUAGAUGGAUCCGCGCUGCAUUAGCUAGUUGGUAAGGUAACGGCUUACCAAGGCAACGAUGCAUAGCCGACCUGAGAGGGUGAUCGGCCACACUGGAACUGAGACACGGUCCAGACUCCUACGGGAGGCAGCAGUAGGGAAUCUUCCGCAAUGGGCGAAAGCCUGACGGAGCAACGCCGCGUGAGUGAUGAAGGUCUUCGGAUCGUAAAACUCUGUUAUUAGGGAAGAACAUAUGUGUAAGUAACUGUGCACAUCUUGACGGUACCUAAUCAGAAAGCCACGGCUAACUACGUGCCAGCAGCCGCGGUAAUACGUAGGUGGCAAGCGUUAUCCGGAAUUAUUGGGCGUAAAGCGCGCGUAGGCGGUUUUUUAAGUCUGAUGUGAAAGCCCACGGCUCAACCGUGGAGGGUCAUUGGAAACUGGAAAACUUGAGUGCAGAAGAGGAAAGUGGAAUUCCAUGUGUAGCGGUGAAAUGCGCAGAGAUAUGGAGGAACACCAGUGGCGAAGGCGACUUUCUGGUCUGUAACUGACGCUGAUGUGCGAAAGCGUGGGGAUCAAACAGGAUUAGAUACCCUGGUAGUCCACGCCGUAAACGAUGAGUGCUAAGUGUUAGGGGGUUUCCGCCCCUUAGUGCUGCAGCUAACGCAUUAAGCACUCCGCCUGGGGAGUACGACCGCAAGGUUGAAACUCAAAGGAAUUGACGGGGACCCGCACAAGCGGUGGAGCAUGUGGUUUAAUU